CCAACAGGGAUUGCCUUAGUAACGGCGAGUGAAGCGGCAAAAGCUCAAAUUUGAAAUCUGGCACCUUCGGUGUCCGAGUUGUAAUUUGAAGAAGGUAACUUUGGAGUUGGCUCUUGUCUAUGUUCCUUGGAACAGGACGUCACAGAGGGUGAGAAUCCCGUGCGAUGAGAUGCCCAAUUCUAUGUAAAGUGCUUUCGAAGAGUCGAGUUGUUUGGGAAUGCAGCUCUAAGUGGGUGGUAAAUUCCAUCUAAAGCUAAAUAUUGGCGAGAGACCGAUAGCGAACAAGUACAGUGAUGGAAAGAUGAAAAGAACUUUGAAAAGAGAGUGAAAAAGUACGUGAAAUUGUUGAAAGGGAAGGGCUUGAGAUCAGACUUGGUAUUUUGCGAUCCUUUCCUUCUUGGUUGGGUUCCUCGCAGCUUACUGGGCCAGCAUCGGUUUGGAUGGUAGGAUAAUGACUAAGGAAUGUGGCUCUACUUCGGUGGAGUGUUAUAGCCUUGGUUGAUACUGCCUGUCUAGACCGAGGACUGCGUCUUUUGACUAGGAUGUUGGCAUAAUGAUCUUAAGCCACCCGU
Molecule: ribosomal RNA, 572 nt
Filed under: Debaryomyces hansenii
Lineage: Eukaryota; Fungi; Ascomycota; Pichiomycetes; Serinales; Debaryomycetaceae
Description: partial large subunit ribosomal RNA
Rfam family: Eukaryotic large subunit ribosomal RNA
Source: RNAcentral